RNAcentral lists this ribosomal RNA (293 nucleotides) under Klebsiella pneumoniae. RNAcentral describes it as "partial 23S ribosomal RNA". It matches the Rfam family "Bacterial large subunit ribosomal RNA", at positions 1195 to 1491 of the family's 2925-position model. The record is from RNAcentral. Lineage: Bacteria; Pseudomonadati; Pseudomonadota; Gammaproteobacteria; Enterobacterales; Enterobacteriaceae.
CGAAGCUGCGGCAGCGACACUAUGUGUUGUUGGGUAGGGGAGCGUUCUGUAAGCCUGCGAAGGUGUGCUGUGAGGCAUGCUGGAGGUAUCAGAAGUGCGAAUGCUGACAUAAGUAACGAUAAAGCGGGUGAAAAGCCCGCUCGCCGGAAGACCAAGGGUUCCUGUCCAACGUUAAUCGGGGCAGGGUGAGUCGACCCCUAAGGCGAGGCCGAAAGGCGUAGUCGAUGGGAAACAGGUUAAUAUUCCUGUACUUGGUGUUACUGCGAAGGGGGGACGGAGAAGGCUAUGUUAGC